This 1127-nucleotide ribosomal RNA is filed under the name uncultured organism. RNAcentral describes it as "bacterial SSU rRNA". It matches the Rfam family "Bacterial small subunit ribosomal RNA", at positions 233 to 1345 of the family's 1533-position model. The record is from RNAcentral.
GCGUCCUAUUAGCUUGUUGGUGAGGUAACGGCUCACCAAGGCAGCGAUGGGUAGCCGGCCUUAGCGGGUGGACGGCCACACUGGAACUGAGGAGAGCGGUCCAGACUCCUACGGGAGGCUGCAGUGCUGAAUUAUUCGCCAAUGCGCGAAAGCGUGACGGUGCGACGCCGCGUGCGGGACGAAGGCCCUAGGGUCGUAAACCGCUGUCAGGGCUUCGGAAACCGUAGAGGUUAAUAGCCUCUGCGCUGACCAGACCCAAAGGAAGCACAGGCUAAUCUCGUGCCAGCAGCCGUGGUAAUACGAGAUGUGCGAGCGUUGUUCGGAAUUACUGGGCAUAAAGGGUGCGCAGGCGGCCAUGUAAGUCAGGUGUGAAAUCCCUCGGCUCAACCGGGGAAUUGCAUCUGAUACUGCAUGGCUUGAGAACGAAAGGGGCAAGCGGAAUUCCAGGUGUAGCGGUGGAAUGCGUAGAUAUCUGGGAGAACGCCAAUGGCGAAGGCAGCUUGCUGGGUCGUUUCUGACGCUCAUGCACGAAAGCUAGGGGAGCAAACAGGAUUAGAUACCCUGGUAGUCCUAGCUGUAAACGAUGGGUACUAGGUUCCGGGAUUCCUGGUGAUUUCGGAGCCGCAGUUAAUGCGUUAAGUACCCCGCCUGGGGAGUAUGGUCGCAAGGCUAAAACUCAAAGGAAUUGACGGGGGCUCACACAAGCGGUGGAGCAUGUUGUUCAAUUCGAAGCAACGCGAAGAACCUUACCUGGGUUUGACAUGCAGGAAGUAGAACCCUGAAAGGGGAACCACCGGUAUCCAAUCCGGAACCUGCACAGGUGCUGCAUGGCUGUCGUCAGCUCGUGUCGUGAGACGUUGGGUUAAGUCCCGUAACGAGCGAAACCCUUGUCGUCUGUUGCUACCAGGUAAUGCUGGGCACUCUGACGAGACUGCCGGUGUUACACCGGAGGAAGGUGGGGACGACGUCAAGUCAUCAUGGUCCUUACAUCCAGGGCUACAAACGUGCUACAAUGGCGAGUACAGAGAGACGCGAGACCGCGAGCUGGAGCAAAUCUUCAAAGCUCGCCCCAGUUCGGAUUGGAGGCUGCAAUUCGCCUCCAUGAAGUUGGAAUCGCUAGUAAUCGC